RNAcentral lists this long non-coding RNA (12489 nucleotides) under Homo sapiens (human). Its description in RNAcentral is "non-protein coding VAV3-AS1:4". The record is from RNAcentral. Lineage: Eukaryota; Metazoa; Chordata; Mammalia; Primates; Hominidae.
CAUGGCUUAGGAAGAGCUGUAAACGGGAGCUUGCCGGCUGGCCACCAGCUCAGGGGCCCUGGGGGCGGCCUCCGGGUUCUGCUCCCUGUUCUUCCCUUUGACCAAUGUCACUCCUGGACAGAUAACGGGACCAAACGCCCUUCACUUCCUCGAGUCCUCAUGUAUGUCAUGGUUCCUCUUUUAGGAAAACAUGAGUACAAGACGCAAAGCAAAAGAAGAGACUAAAGGCAAAUUACCCCAUCACCUCGUUUCGUCCCUCCCCUUCGUUAUUAUAGAAGAGCUUGAUCAAAUUCCCUUUGUCGCGCCACACACACGCAGAGUAGGUGAAGGGCACCCUAAGACAACUUAUUUCUUUCCCGCCUCACAGAAAGCCUUUACGAAAUCCUCACACCAUCUCCGGACGCAAAGCUUUCGCAUUCAGCUUGAGGAGCUAAACCAUUUCAAGCCAAGGUUUCUUCACAGAUUAGGAUAAAGGAUGAAGAGAAGUAAACUGAAUUACUAAGGAUGCAACAUUAAUGGAGAGAGCCAAGUGAUGUAAAUCGUGGCUGGCCAUGAGUGGAUCUUGAGUGCCAGUUAUCUAGAGAAAUUCCACGUGGCUGUUCCAGGAUGGAUUAGGCACCAAUGACUCUCUUUCACCCUCGAGCUGGAAUCCUGCCCCUUUAACACCUUUCCAGAGAGAGGCAACCCAUGGAGGGUCACAGCAAGAUGGGAUGGUUGUGCCUGGUAGUAAAAAUAUGUAUCACUCUUCAUUUCAUCCAGCUUUGAAGCUUCUGCUAGCAGCUCACACAUGACCCCAAGGGCAGCUCCUCAAGUCUGCUAAAGAAAAGUUAAGUAGAAUUAAUUUUGUUCAAUAUCUCCCAUUUUGUUAGAUUCAUCAUUUUCAGUCAAGAAUGACAAUAUUAAUGGAACCAAAAGAAUAUAUACUAUUAACAUUUCGUCUUAAUUCUACAAAUGUCUAAAAGUCUCUGUAAUUCCCUUAAAAAUAAAAAAAAUGCAAUAUUAAUUUAGGGAGCACUCUAGUUGAGCAAUCAGUUCUAUAGAAAAUCAACGUUAUAUUACUCCUAUUAUUUACAGUAUAUGGCAUUACAUCGUAAAACUACCUUAUCUUUUACUUGGGAAGACAAGGGGUGGAGGAUUUGAAGAACCAAAACUUACAGAAUUCCUAGUAUGAACUGAGCAUAUUACUUCCUCUGCAUCUACAAGCUUCUUAUAAUUAUCUCCAUCUUGUAUGAAAGAAAACAACCUUCAGAGAAAUUAGAUAACCAGUUCUCUGUCUCACAGACAGUGUGAAGCUGGUAUUCAAAGCCCCGGCUGUCUGACUCCAAAAUCUCUGUUCUUUCUACUCCAAAUUUCACAUGUAUUUAUUUUACUUCACAUGGAUCUGUAUCUGGGAUUACUCUGUAAUACAUAAAUUAUAGAAAAAAAAUUUGGCUGGGCACAGUGGCACACGCCUGUAAUCCUAGCACUUUGGGAGGCUGAGGUGUGUGGAUUGCCUAAGCUCAGGUGUUCGAGACCAGCCGGGGCAACAUGGUGAGACCCCAUAUCUACUAAAAAUACAAAAAAAAAAAAUUAGCUGGGUGUGGUAGUGCAUGCCUGUAAUCCCAACUAAUUGGGAGGCUGACGCAGGAGAAUCACUUGAACCCAGGAGACAAAGGUUACAGUGAGCUGAGAUCGAGCCACUGUACUCCAGCCUGGGCAACAGAAUGAGACUGGCUCCAAGCCACGCCCCCUGCCCCAGAGCACCAAAUUUAAACUAGCUGGAACCCAACUAAUUAAAAUCUUGAAUUAAAUGAUUCUUCCUCUACCAUAUCUCCAUUCUCUGCCACCAUCACAUUCUCAGCCUGUAGGGAUAACAAGUGGGGACAAAACAACUAGGACCUAUGAUUGUUUUUAAUCUUUAAAAUGUGCCAUGAGGUAAAAUAAUUAGCCCAACUUCCUAAAUCAAUUCCAUUACACUGUGGUAACAAGGAUUUCUGAUAUAAACCCAAAGCAUUGUGAGAUUUUAAAUUAUUGAAGAAAGAUUCAAUUAUGUUCAGGAUAUCCUACUUAGGCAGGGAAAUGUACUCAUUUCCCUAAGUUUUUAGGUAAUAAACUGAAAAAAAGUUGAUUUUUUUUUUGUGUGUGUGUGAGGGGAAGGGACUAUCUAGAAAACUCCAUCACAUAGUUCCUUGACUGCGUAGGUUAGUCUAUAUAAUUAUUUAAAAAGAAAACUUCAUUUCCUUCCCAACCCCAAAACUACCAUGUAGAUAAAAACAAGUGCCAAGGGCAAUGAGGCAAAAUGCUUGUAUUUGAAUCCCAGUUCCAUCACUAGUCAGCCUUGGGACCAAUGGCAAGACCUUACCUCUUUGGCAUCAGAUGCUGCAGCAAUGAAAUAAUGAGUUAGAAUAAGAUAAUCUCCCAGUCCUUGCCUGGGGUGUGCAUUUAUGAAUUCAUUCAUUCAACAAAUAUAAAUAUUUUCAUAGACACAAUGUUUCAAUGUUUUAUGAUACCAUCUUGACAUUCAUCAGCAUUACAUAUUUAUUAGGCAGAGUGAUUACAAAGAAAGACUCAGUCAUUUCCAAGGAGCUCACAAGGGGAAAUCUGACAUUUACACAACAGUCAAAGGUAGCCAAAGGAAACAACAAUGGUCAGUAUGAGCAAGGCACUACAGGAUUCCCCAAGAAUCAUUUAAUUUUUUCAUUAUUUCAGUAGUUGUGCUAAGACAAAAGUGAUGAUCUAUGGAACACUCCUUAGCCUCCACACUGGACAUGAGAUUGUAUUUAGUAUUUGCUCUGCAGUCCUCCCUUGUUGUGAAAAGCACAUAUAUCCAGAAUAGUGACUAAACAUAACCAUAGGCAAAUGGCUACAUGCACAUAGAGAGUCUACACAGGAAAUGUGAACAUAUAUGUACUGAACAUUCAUACAUCAAUAUCCAUCAUAUUUGCCUUCAAUUCAGUGCUAUAGCAAAUGUUUACUGUGUGUUUGGUGCUGAGUGGGCUAUAGAGGUAGAAAAGAAAGGAUCUUGCCCCUCUAGGAGCACACCACUUAUUCCAUUUACUAAGAAAGACGGAAAUAUAACCAAUUCCAACAGGGGCAAUGAUAGUGGUUCUAACAGUAAUACUUCCAGAGUGUAGGAAAGGAAUACUUAAUGUUGUCUAAAGAAUCUGGGAAUUCUCAGAAAAGAUAGGACUUUAUCUGAGCUCUAAAGAAAGAGUAGCUCUUUGAUGGGGCAAUGUGUGUGAAAAUGUGUAUAGAGAAGCAAGAAGGCCUAACCUUUUAAGUAGUAACAAUAUGUCCAGACCCAGUGAUAGGAUCCAUGUGGGCCAGAAUCAGUAAAUCCAUAUGGGUGCAGCAUUAGGUCUUUGAGGAAUGUAGUGGAGAUCAAGGUUAGAAAGAGACACCAAAGCCAAGCGCAGGGGCUCACGCCUGUAAUCCCAGCACUUUGGGAGGCCGAGGCAGGCGGAUCACCUGAUGUCAGGAGUUUGAGAUCAGCCUGACCAACAUGGAGAAACCCCAUCUCUACUAAAAAUACAAAAUUAGCCAGGCGUGGUGGCACAUGCCUCUAAUCCCAGAUACUCAGGAGGCAGAGGCAGGAAGAUCGCUUGAACCCGGGAGGUGGGGGUUGUGGUGAGGGUGAGCUGAGACUGCACCAUUGCACUCCAGCCUGGGCAACAAGAGCGAAAUUCCAUCUCAAAAAAAAAAAAAAGAAAGAAAGAAAAGAAGGAGACACCAAAGCCACAGAACUUCACUCUGAUAUUGAGUAACAAUUAAGAGCAUGAAAUCUGGAGCUAGACUUCCUGAGUGUGAAUCCUGGCUCCAUGUGAACUUAGGCAAGUUACUUAGCCUCUUCUGUUACAUUAAAAAGAGUUGAAGUGUGGGAAUGCUUUAAACAGUGCCUAGUAUUUAAUAAAGUCCAUAUAUAAGUUCGGUAUUCAAUAUACAAUGGGGAAGCAAUUAAGGUAAUGGAAUUAGCGUGUGACCUAACUGGUCUACUUAUAUAGUUUUCCUUACUGUGCUAUAUUAAGGAGGCUGUAUUUAGGAGCUGAAAAAGGAGUUUGUGGUUGUCAUUGUGUUGCAAAGUUAAGAGGAAUAUAUAUUUCAUCUAUGUAAUUAGUAAUGAUAGGUUCUCAGUCUUGGGAGCUCUCAGGUUGUCCAGAUCCCAAAGACAGACCAUGGACGAUGGUUCACAUUCUCAGAAACUCCUGGGAUUUGGAAGGCACAUUUCCUUUCAUUAAAAUACUCAUGGUAGGUACAUGCUUUCAUAUGAAAUGAUCAUUCCAUUUCUUAUUUACUCUUUCAUGAUUUUUAUUAGAUUUUCUUAGAAAAUACUAGUGUAUUAGAAAAUAAAAAUUAGGGCUCAUAGGAAAGAACAUUGGAUGUCUAGCCAGAUUGGAACACAUAAUUCUUUUAAGAGAUGCCAGGGACAUUUCCCUCUUAGGAGAACUGGGAGCAACAGGCUUAAAGGGAUUCUACACACUGCAUUAAUUAUUAGAACAUGACUCUUUGUUCCUCUAUUCUAUUACUCACUGAUUACAAACCUUAAGGAGAAAGGUCAUUAUUACAAACAGCAAGAAAACAGAGGUUUAAGUUAAAAUUGUCUUGGAAGGCUGUAAAACGGUGAUUUUCCUUCCUUUGAGGAAUAGUAAAUGCAAGUAUUAUAAUUCAUAAGGGCUACUCCUUUAUACAAUUCAAAAUCAAAAUCUCAUUACUCUCAUCAUCGCAUUUUCAAUAAGAAUUAAUUUCUGAAUUUUAUUAAUUUUAACUAUGGACUCUGCUCAAUAUUCUCAGGUUUGGAGAAAAAGUAGGGCAGCAUUUCUAUUCCAUGCACUGAAAAAGACCUGGAAACGAAGCGCAAAAGCCAUCACACUCCAGGAAAUGUAGCAAGGCAGUGUGACCUAGUUGUAGACCCAGACAACUGGUAUUCUUUUCUAGUUUUCUGCUCUCUGGGCCACAUCAUAGUCCUAACUUCUCUGAGCUUGGUUUUCUCUCUCUGUUGAAGUGUACAUUAAUGCAGGGAAUUUACUAUUGUGGUAAUAUUCUUGUAGUCACCAAUGGUAAUUCUCUCUCUCUGUCUCUCUUCCUCGCUCUUUCUCUCUCUCUCCUUCUCUCUUUCUCUCUUAUUUUGCUUUAUAAAGACUCAAACUAGAGGGUGAUAGCUACCCUAAAAGUCCAGAAUUCACCACUACACAAUAUAUUCAUGUAAUGGAAUGGCACUUGUACCUCUUAAAUUUAUUUUUAAGGCUCAAACUAGGAAGAAAUUAGAUUUUAUGUAUACAUUUAUGAAUAUGUAUGUAUACUGUACAUGAUGAAAUUAUAUAAUAUACAGUCAUGUUGUAGAUGUUUAAAAAUCAUGCUUCCAGCCAGGCACGGUGGCUCACGCCUGUAAUCCCAGCACUUUGGGAGGCCGAGGCGGGUGGAUCAUGAGGUGAAGACAUAGAGACCAUCCUGGCCAACAUGGUGAAAUCCUGUCUCUACUAAAAAUACAAAAAUUAGCUGGGCAUGGUGGUGGGCACCUGUAGUCCCAGGUACUCGGGAGGCUGAGGUAGGAGAAUCGCUUGAACCCAGAAGGCAAAGGUUGCAGUGAGCCAAGAUUACACCACUGCACUCCAGCCUGGCAACAGAGCAAGACUCCGUUUCAAGACUAAAAAAACAAAAAACAAACAAACAAAAAAUCAAUAUAUUAUAAUUCAUCAUUGUUAUUAUUUUAAUGCUUAAAUGUUUCCCAAAUUUAACCCAAGGGAGCCCAAGACAGUUCCUUAUCCAUUGGUCAUUGCUUCAUGAUUUUCUGAGCAUGUCUUGCUUUCCAGCACAAUAGUGUAUUCCAGAAGCAUAUUUAUAUACUCCUCACCUGGAAUUGACCACUUCCCCCAAGGAAUUCUGACUCCCUUUAGUAGGCAAUGGUCUUUAGAAAUCAACACCUGAAAGUCACAACUGGAAUUUGAACCCAGACUGUGAGACUGCAGAGCAUGCUCUCAACAUCGUACUAUAUGACUCUAAUUAAGUAUAAUAUCCUCUAAUAAGUGAGGUACACCAAAGAUGCUCUAGGAAUACAGAGGAGGAUGUGGGUGGAAAAGAAGGGAGGAUUUCACUGGGAAGGCUUGCCUUGCAAAUCUACCUUUACUGUUAUUUCCAUGCUGAUACCAGAGUGAUUUCAUUUAACCACCUGGACACUAUGGAAACAGUCUUUCCUACUUGGGACCAAAUCUAUCCCAAAUUAUGGUUUUCCCAUAUUUCACCCUAGUCACAAAAAUGUCUGAAAAACUCCUCUUUCCUGGUAUUCAAAAAGAGCUAAGAGAAGCCACUCCUCUCCUUCAUUCUACUCCUUUGACUUCCUUUACACAUUCACACAUUCUGUUUCGGAUUUCAUUGUUUCCUCAAAGCAUACAAAGUCUCUUUCAAAAGGAAUUCUCUUUCUUCAGAGUCAUGGUUUGGGAGCUUCUAACUCCUACCCUUCUCAUAAUAGACCUCUCCAGACCUCAUUAUCUUAGCAUAAAAGUUAGUACAGAAUGUCAGCAUGUUUAAAACCCGACUUCUUUCCUUUCUGCAAAUAAAUAAAUAAACAAACCCAAGUUUAGAUUUCAACUAUCUUGCCUCAGCCAUGUGUGAGCACCUCUCAAAUCCACAUUUGUUUUAAGAAGGCAAUUUUUUUUUACCCUAAGUUUAAAUUUGCAUUGUGAGGGAGUAUAGGAGAAGAUGGGCAGCUUGGAGUUAACACCAGGCCAGGUUUCCUUAAAGGGAGCAGCAAAAGCAAGCCAGCUGAGUGAUCACCUGGGUUGCAGCGCCUGAAAAUACAGAGCCUCGUGGUUUUGUGCAGUGCUAGAUGGAGUCUCUUCCCUGGCAUCCUUCACUUGUCACUACCGUGUGUUUUCUUUAAUACUAUUGCUACUGCAGUUGCCACUGCCGCUAUCAGUAAUGAAAUUAAUAAUAAUAAUAACAUCCUGACCUAUUCUGCCAUCGCAAAUUUCAGUCCAUUCUAGCCCGCAGAGGAGAUGGCCAGCCUGUAACACUGCAGUUGAAUAUUAAUUAAGUGAUCUUUCAGUAGCACAAGGGAAGGAAUCAAGGGCCUGUUUAAAACCAUUCCCUUAGAUCUAUUGCAGAUAGGAAUCAAUAAAGCAUCCAUGUUCAGGGUCACAAGUUGGCUUGGAAAACAAAUCCACAACUGAGAACCCUAUGGCCUCCCCUGGAGCACUCCAGGCCAGAUCUCUCCCUGUCUGAUGACAAACUCCAAGAGCCAGGGUAACCCAUUACUCACUCCCAAGCUGUUGUGGGCUUUUUUUUUUUUUUUUUUUUUUUGCUGUUGCUUGACUAUAAGCCAAACAAAAUGAACGUUCAUAUGGUGAACUUGGCAGCUGUCCCACUCCAGACUGUGCUUUUCCACAAGCCAAAGGAGGCUUUGAAGCUGGCCUCCCCUCCACUUUGCCCCAAGCUGGGGAAUUACCCUUGGAGGAGCAGAGAUCAGCUGGCACUGAGCCAUGCUGCCCUUUGGGUCAGGAGACAUUCAAGAAAGGCCCGGCCUAUGGGCCUCAUAGCUGAGCAGAAUGACUUGGCCUGUUCCCAGGGCUGCCAAAGGUGUCCUGUAUCUUUUUGCUGAAUUUCUAGGGAUAAAAGCUUAGCAUUUUAUACUUACACCUUAACAUAAGAAUAUCUGUCCUUUUGCCUGUAUGUAUUGAGAUAGAAAGGUGUCCCACUGCAAGGCUUUAGAAAUGUUUUGCAAACUCACACUCAGUUUGCCAAUAAUUCACAGUAAAAUCUGAACUCACAUAAUCAAGAUUGGAUACAAAGAGCACUGGAAUGAAGGGAUGGAUGAGUGAACAAAUGAAAUUAGACUAUACCACGAAGGAAUGGAGUACAUGAAUGAAGACCAGACAUCAGGAAUCUGGGUUUUGGUCCUGGCUCAGUCCCUUCCUGACUUCUCAUUUAACCACUUGCAGGUCAACAGCCCCACCUAGAAAAUAAAAGACUUGGAGAAAUUAUUUUAUCUCUUCCAGAUAUAGAUGAUUUAUUAUAUCACUUGUGUGCAUAUACAGAUUAAUAGUCAAGCAUGAAAGCAGUCUAUAAUUUGUAGCCAUCAGUAACAAUCAAACAGCCUCCAAAUAACCGGAAAUCCAAAAGCAGCCAAAAAUUGAAUUAUACCGCAUGAUUAACAAAUUGUGAAUAUGAAUUUUGACUCUGUCACAAGGUCAGGUUACUCAGCCUCUGUGGCAUGGCUCACUGUAAAUAUUCUAGACACAUGUGCUCUCAAACUAAAGUAUUUUUAAAAUAUAACAAAAUUUACCCUUAACAAUUUAAAUUGUUAUAUUUAAAUUGUUGUUAUUAAAUUAAAUUGUUGUAUUAAAUUAAUUGUUAUAUAUAAAUUGUUAUAUUUAAAGUAUAACAAUUUACCCUAUAUAUUAGGGUAAAUAUUAUAUUUACUCUUGGGAUAUUAUACUAAUGUCCCAAGAUGGACACAGAUAAGCUCUUCAAAAUGGUUCCUAUUUGAAUACUCUAAUUCUGGAGGAAACAAAGUGUUCGAAUCAUACCAAAGGUCUUCCAAGUAAUGAACAAGUAAAGGAGCACUUCAUAAAGUAAACUAGAAUGCCACAAUUAGUAUGGAUGCUUAAGAUUACUCAAAUGUGUGGUUUUUCUAACACUAAUCUAAUUUAGAAAUGUAUAUUAUAGUAUUAGAAAUGAAUACUAUAAUUUAGAAAUACUCACUACUUCUGACUAUUCUUUUUCCUCUAUUUUUAUUUUGUAAUUUUGAAUUUUUUACUUUUCCUUUUAAGAGACAGGGUCUUGCUCUGUCACCCAAGCUGCUGUGCAGUGGCAUGAUUAUAGCUCACUGUAUCCUCAAACUCCUGGGCUCGAGCAAUCCUCUUGCCUUGGUUCCCAAAAUUCAGGGAUUACAGAUGUGAGCCACUGUGCUUGGCAAUUUUAAAGUCUUAAAACAGUGUUAUAUUAAUAUAAAUCAUGGUAGGAUUUGACAUUUCAAAGAACUUGAGGAUAAAAACAUUUCUUAGGGGACCAAAAAUGAUCACUAAUUUGUAAAAUGGGCCUAGACUCACCCACAUCUCCCAAGUGAUGUUUCCUUCUUCAGAGCUGCUCUACAUGUAAUUAAGAGAACAGAAGGGCCGCCUGCAUCAAUCAAAUGCACAACCUUCCCUAGCACACACAGUUCCAAUGAAAAUCCAAACAGCUAUUGGGAUGAACUGAGGAAUGAUGUUUAUCAGGUCUUCAAGGUGAAAAUACCACCAGCAUUUAUUACUGAGAGAAGAAUCUUUUAGCAAACAAUAGACCAAUAAAUUUUACCUCUCAAAAAAGUGUUUCACUUCAUUCUUCCACUUUUGACUCCAAGUCAUAAAAGACCCAGCGCAGAAUAAAGUAGGUAUGCUGAGAGGGUUUAGACAUCCUCUCUCAUGCCCAAGCAAGAUCAUAUGCUUAAAAAUGGUCCUUGGCAGAAGAAUAUAUCUUUAAUUUCUUUAACAUAUUAAAAAUUAAGCCUGGGGCUGGGCGCUGGGGCUCGCACCUAUAAUCCCAGCACUUUCGGAGGACGAGGCGGGCAGAUCACCCAAGGUCAGGAGAUCAAGAACAGCCUGCCCAACAUGGUGAAACCCCGUCUCCACUAAAAAUAUAUAAUUAGCUGGGCACGGUGGCAUGAGCCUGUAAUCCCAGCUACACGGGAGGCUGAGGCAGGAGAGUUGCCUGAACCCUGGAGGCGGAGGUUGCAGUGAGCCGAGAUUGUGCCAUUGCCCUCCAGCCUGGGCAAAAAGGGCAAAACUCCAUCUCAAAACAAAAACAAACAAAUGAAAAACCAAACCUGGAAGAAUAAGAUCAUACAGUUUUCCCAGCUGUGUAUGAGAUUCUUCUCACCAAAACUUAGCCACAAAGCUGGAGUUAGAGCGAAAGAGGCCGUGAAGUAGAUGAAAAAAAGAGAAGCCCUUCCUUUUUGGAGACUGGGCGAUUGUGGUUUUAGAGAAAAAUAAUAAAACAUAUAUUCUCUGAUUCCAUCUGUGUUAAAACUGCAAAUCAGAGUUAUAUUUGAAAAAAUGUAGGAGAGAAAUCUCCUUUUGCUACAUGCACUUUAAAUUCUCAAGGAAGUAUACUAGCUGUGUUCUCAGAAGAAAACAAAUAGAAUGCUAGAUAAUAUUUACAUCCCUUGCAUACCAAACCAGAGGAAACAAACAGCCCUGUUCAGAAACUGGGCAGGUGAGGAAACAGUUUAAACCUGAAGGAACUCUAUCACUGUGUUAUGCUCCUGGAGAAGCAAGAGACCUCCUGAGAUCAUCAACUUUUAAAAGUAGUGUUUAAUCUUCCAGGGAUGAACCUUCUAUUGCAACAUACAUAAUAACAAAGUUUGUAAAACAUAUUGUGGCAUUUAAUCUAUAGAUGCUUAUUAUAGGAAAUAGAAGUUAUUCAUUUAAACUGUAAAUGUAAAUACCAGCUUGUGUCAACUGACACACUACUAUGUAAAUUGUAUAGAUACUUCUGUAAGUCAGAGAGCUCCAGACUCCGUAGUCUGAACUUCCCUUUGCAGAUUGAAUAAGAAAAGCUAAGCAAGUGAUGUUUACCACACAGUUUCAUGUAGCCCAAAUGAUGAAGAGCCAUUGUGAAUAUCACCUACUUUGACCCAUAAUGCUCCACUGUCCUAGAGAUUAUAUUUUACCGUCUUGGUGACUCUAUUGUUUUGCAGUUCGGGUUUGGAUUUGAUAAGUAAAAUGGCAGCGUGAAAAUGUUAGCCUCAUGCUUAAUAGGCUAGGCUAUGAGGAAGAAAAUGUUAAACAAUAGCAUUGGCAUAUUUUUUCCUAUAUAUUUGAGAACCAAAAAUUAAAAUUAAGAAGGCAAAAUAGGAAUACAUAGGUUUUAGAAAUAAUAGUGCAUAUAUGCUCCAAAGUAUACUAUUUACCAUUCAAUUAAAAGAAUCAAAAGAACUUUAUUGAUUGGCAAGAAAAAUUAGAAAAACAAAUAUAUAUAAAACAAGAAUUGCUCUCUCUAGCAAUCUGUAACCCAGUUGGGUGAUGGCCUCAAUUAGACAGAAGCAGUAUAAUUGGGAAUUUGAUCUUUGCUCCUUUGUCGAGUUCCUAGAAAAUUUCUUUAACUGUAGAUGGAGAAAUUAUUCUAAAUGAUAGUCAGCAAAAAAGAGCAUCUGAAAUACAUUUCUCACUCUCUGGAGAGUGAGAAUGGCCCAGCACAGAUUCCAGCAUUAUAAAUAGGAUCUUCGGCAUGUACUUGACAUAGGAAUAUAUCAGGAAUCUUAGUAAAGAUGGGGAGUUUUCACUGUUUCAAGCAGGACAACCACAGUUUCCACGUAUCUAUGUGUUGGUUGUAACCUAGGUUGCAGGCAACUGCAAUCACCCAAGCACACCCAUCACUAGUGUGCCAUUCCCAAUGUUCAUAACUUGCACUUUGUCAAGACUUCAUUGAAAAAGUACAGGCAAUAAGUGGGAAAAAUAAUUGUUCAUUUGGUGGCAAAUUUAAUGGGUUUUGAAGCCUGAGGUGUGGGCAAUACACCCACACACACACAUGCAAACACACACACAUUGAUAUGGUUUGGCUGUGUUCCCACCCAAAUCUCAACUUGAAUUAUAGUUCCCAUAAUCCCCACAUGUCGUGGGAGAGACCCAGUGGGAGGUAAUUGAAUCAUGGGGGUGGUUACCCUCAUGCUAUUCUCAUGAUAGUGAGGGAGUUCUCACGAGAUCUGAUGGUUUUAUAAGAGACUUUGCCCCCUUUGCUUGCCACUUAUCCUUGCUGCCGCCAUGUGAAGAAGGACGUGUUUGCUUCCCCUUCCACAGUGAUUGUAAGUUUCCUGAGGCCUCCCCAGCCCUGCAGAACUGUGAGUCAUUUAAACCUCUCUCCUUUAUAAAUUAUCCAGUCUCGUGUAUUUCUUCAUAACGGCAUAAGAAUGGACUAAUACACAUAUUUUAGAAAGGAACUCUAGCAAUUCAAUUUCUAAUCUAAUUAUAAUGUUCAUAAUACCACAUUGUUCUGAGAAGUAGUUAUGCUGCCAUAAAAUUCCAGAAUACAAAUGUAAAGGUUUGCUUCAGAUUCUGUCUAAAAAAUGGAAAAUUUCAAACUGAAGACAUCUAUUUGGUUACUUCUUAGACAUUCCAUUUAAAGAGGUAAGUAGAGAACUAGAUAAAGGAGGUGUGGAAGAAGUAAAGGGAAUUUAGCUGAUGCAUCUAUGGCUCUAAUAGCAGGCAUGUUCCAUCUGCUUACUUUGCUAAGUAGCAUAUGCUGCCUGCUAUAGACACUUAAAUGCAACUGAUGGUAGAAUUGAUCAAUUUAAAGAGAUAAUUCUUUGGAGGAAGAAAGGGAACAAACUAUCUCUGGAUAACUUAAUCCAAUAUAGAAAAAUAAAACCAUAUGGAUUUAAUGACAGAUUUAAAGUCAUUUUAAAAGAAAUCAUAAGUAAGUAUGCAAAAUAGCUAAACUAUUUGCUAAAACUUUUGAAAAUCAUAAUGAAAUUGGAAAAUUUCUAUUUUCAGGAAAAAAUAGAAAUCAAGAUGAACUGAAGAAAUAUGAAUCCAAAGAAUAGAC